CCUGGUUGAUCCUGCCAGUAGUCAUAUGCUUGUCUCAAAGAUUAAGCCAUGCAUGUCUAAGUGCAUGCCAAAUUAAGGUGAAACCGCGAAUGGCUCAUUAAAUCAGUUAUGGUUCCUUAGAUCGUACCCACAUUUACUUGGAUAACUGUGGUAAUUCUAGAGCUAAUACAUGCAAACCAGAGUUCCGACCAGAGAUGGAAGGAACGCUUUUAUUAGAUCAAAACCAAUCGGUGGCGGGCUUUGCUCGUCCACCGUUUACUUUGGUGACUCUGAAUAACUUUGUGCUGAUCGCACGGUCUCGUACCGGCGACGCAUCUUUCAAAUGUCUGCCUUAUCAACUGUCGAUGGUAGGUUCUGCGCCUACCAUGGUUGUAACGGGUAACGGGGAAUCAGGGUUCGAUUCCGGAGAGGGAGCCUGAGAAACGGCUACCACAUCCAAGGAAGGCAGCAGGCGCGCAAAUUACCCACUCCCGGCACGGGGAGGUAGUGACGAAAAAUAACGAUACGGGACUCAUCCGAGGCCCCGUAAUCGGAAUGAGUACACUUUAAAUCCUUUAACGAGGAUCAAUUGGAGGGCAAGUCUGGUGCCAGCAGCCGCGGUAAUUCCAGCUCCAAUAGCGUAUAUUAAAGUUGUUGCGGUUAAAAAGCUCGUAGUUGAAUCUGUGUCGCACGCUGUCGGUUCGCCGCUCGCGGUGUUUAACUGACAUGCUCGUGAGACGUCCUACCGGUGGGCUUAGCUCCUUCGGGGGCGGUCCAACUAAUAUCCCAUCGCGGUGCUCUUUAUUGAGUGUCGAGGGGGGCCGGUACGUUUACUUUGAACAAAUUAGAGUGCUUAAAGCAGGCUAUCAUUUGCCUGAAUAUUCUGUGCAUGGAAUAAUGGAAUAGGACCUCGGUUCUAUUUUGUUGGUUUUAAGAAACCCGAGGUAAUGAUUAAUAGGGACAGAUGGGGGCAUUCGUAUUGCGACGUUAGAGGUGAAAUUCUUGGAUCGUCGCAAGACGGACAGAAGCGAAAGCAUUUGCCAAAAAUGUUUUCAUUAAUCAAGAACGAAAGUUAGAGGUUCGAAGGCGAUCAGAUACCGCCCUAGUUCUAACCAUAAACGAUGCCAGCUAGCGAUCCGCCGAAGUUCCUCCGAUGACUCGGCGGGCAGCUUCCGGGAAACCAAAGCUUUUGGGUUCCGGGGGAAGUAUGGUUGCAAAGCUGAAACUUAAAGGAAUUGACGGAAGGGCACCACCAGGAGUGGAGCCUGCGGCUUAAUUUGACUCAACACGGGAAACCUCACCAGGCCCGGACACCGGAAGGAUUGACAGAUUGAGAGCUCUUUCUUGAUUCGGUGGGUGGUGGUGCAUGGCCGUUCUUAGUUGGUGGAGCGAUUUGUCUGGUUAAUUCCGAUAACGAACGAGACUCUAGCCUGCUAAAUAGGCGUACCUUAUGGUAUCUUGAAGGCCCCCGGCUUCGGUCGGUGGGGUUUUACUACCAACGUAC
RNAcentral lists this ribosomal RNA (1483 nucleotides) under Leptopilina clavipes. Its description in RNAcentral is "SSU rRNA". It matches the Rfam family "Eukaryotic small subunit ribosomal RNA", at positions 3 to 1398 of the family's 1831-position model. The record is from RNAcentral. Lineage: Eukaryota; Metazoa; Arthropoda; Insecta; Hymenoptera; Figitidae.